UGAGGAAUAUUGGUCAAUGGUCGAGAGACUGAACCAGCCAAGUCGCGUGAAGGAAGACGGUUCUAUGGAUUGUAAACUUCUUUAGUCGGGGAGCAAAAAGAGUGACGUGUCACCAAUUGAGCGUACCCGAAGAAUAAGCAUCGGCUAACUCCGUGCCAGCAGCCGCGGUAAUACGGAGGAUGCGAGCGUUAUCCGGAUUUAUUGGGUUUAAAGGGUGCGUAGGCGGUUUAUCAAGUCAGCGGUUAAAUGUCCGGGCUCAACCCUGGCCUGCCGUUGAAACUGAUGAACUGGAGAUAGUGUGGAGUAUGCGGAAUGCGCAGUGUAGCGGUGAAAUGCAUAGAUAUUGCGCAGAACUCCGAUCGCGAAGGCAGCAUACUAACACUAAUCUGACGCUGAGGCACGAAAGCGCGGGUAUCGAACAGGAUUAGAUACCCUGGUAGUCCGCGCAGUAAACGAUGGAUACUUGCCUUAUGUUGAGAAUGAUUGAUGUGAGGCGCAGCGAAAGCGUUAAGUAUCCCACCUGGGGAGUACGCCGGCAACGGUG
Molecule: ribosomal RNA, 544 nt
Filed under: uncultured bacterium
Lineage: Bacteria
Description: bacterial SSU rRNA
Rfam family: Bacterial small subunit ribosomal RNA
Source: RNAcentral